This 460-nucleotide ribosomal RNA is filed under the name uncultured bacterium. Its description in RNAcentral is "partial 16S ribosomal RNA". It matches the Rfam family "Bacterial small subunit ribosomal RNA", at positions 338 to 795 of the family's 1533-position model. The record is from RNAcentral.
CCUACGGGAGGCAGCAGUGAGGAAUAUUGGUCAAUGGCCGGAAGGCUGAACCAGCCAUGCCGCGUGAAGGUCAGUGCCCUAUGGGCGUUAAACUUCUUUUGUGCGGGAGCAAUAAUGGUCACGUGUGGCCAGACGAGAGUACCGUACGAAUAAGCAUCGGCUAACUCCGUGCCAGCAGCCGCGGUAAUACGGGGGAUGCAAGCGUUAUCCGGAUUUAUUGGGUUUAAAGGGUGCGUAGGCUGUGAGGUAAGUCAGCGGUGAAAUGCCCCCGCUCAACGGGGUGAAGUGCCAUUGAUACUGCCUGGCUGGAAUGCGGAUGCCGUGGGAGGAAUGUGUGGUGUAGCGGUGAAAUGCAUAGAUAUCACACAGAACACCGAUUGCGAAGGUAUCUCACGAAGCCGCGAUUGACGCUGAUGCACGAAAGCGUGGGUAUCAAACAGGAUUAGAUACCCGUGUAGUC